RNAcentral lists this long non-coding RNA (4261 nucleotides) under Canis lupus familiaris (dog). RNAcentral's name for it is "lncRNA (ENSCAFG00000055491.1)". Lineage: Eukaryota; Metazoa; Chordata; Mammalia; Carnivora; Canidae. The record is from RNAcentral.
CCCGCGGCGAGGCUCGUAGCCAAGGCGUGCGCCCCUGGAACCUGCACCUGCAGGAACGGACCCUCCACGCGCCGCACGACGGGGUCUGGGCAGCGCCGCCCGGGCGGGGCGGCGGCCCCGCGGUCGUGCGUGUCCCCCAGCCCGGGCGGGACGGGCGCCCCGCGGUCGUGCGUGUCCCCAGCCCGGGCGGGACGGCGGCCCCGCCUUCCUAGCGAGCCCGGGAGGAGGCGGGAGGGGCGGCCCCGGGAGCGGGCGCACAGCACGGCCCGGAGCGCGAGCGCCCCCGGCCCAGAGCACGACACGCGGAAGCAGGCCAGGGCCGGGGGCGGUGCACGCCGCCGCGGAGCCCCGCCCACGCCAGAACCUUCUGGAACCCGCGGCCGCGCCGCCCGCACCGCACCUGCUGUCAGGGACGUCGCGCUGCCAGCCCCGGGGGCUCAGCCCAGAACCCCGGGAACCUUCUGGAACGGAACUGCCGGGGCGGGGGGCGGGGGGGGGGCGGGGCGCCUGCCCGCGGACCCUUCUAAAGGCCUCGGCCCAGGGCGCGUGCGCGCAGCGGCGCGGCUGCGGACUCGAGCGGCCGGAGACCCCGAGGGGACGCGCCGCCGGGGGAGCGCAGUGUGGGCCUGCGCGUCGUCGCGCUCGCGGGUGGCGGCCGAGCCUCCGAAGGUUCUGGAAGGUUCCAGUCCCUGCAGGAAACGAUGCUCUUCUGGACCUUGCUCCUCGCCGUCGGGUUGCCCUUGGUCAGCAAUCAAAACGAAUCCGUGUCCGCUUGGACCUAUAGUUUGAAAUGCCACGAUUGCUGGGAUAUCAACAAUUUCAACUGUCCUCAAAAUAGGACGUGUCCCUAUCACAUCCGGCGCUGUUUGACCAUCUCUAUCCGUAAGUACUGCUUUCUCACGCCUUCUGAUUUGUCAGUUUGAGCCCCGGGAACCAACGGUUCUGUCUCUGCACCGGGCCUAGAGGCCUAGUGUGUGGCCCUGCUCCGGGCGUGUCCCCAGGCCCUGUGCCCCCAGCGUCCCUCCAACAUCAUCCCCUGCCCUUUGUGUCCCGAGCCUCCUGCAGAAAACGUCCUCUUGCUGCUCCCUCAGGGUUGUGCCAACUGCCUACCCCCGGCAUCUGCCCACUGGGGACUCAGGUAGGAGCUCGAAUCCGGCCUCUGUCCCNNNNNNNNNNNNNNNNNNNNNNNNNAGUAGAUAGCCUAAAUUCCUGCUAUUAUAAUACACUUUAAAAUGUUGAAUAAAAUAUAUUUUAAGUACGUUUCAACUCUAUGUGAUGUCAAUUUGAACAUAUCAGAGACAAAAUUAAGAAAAAAGGAAGAGAAAAAAGAAACUGGAUCAUGACAAUACAUAAUUAGCAAGUCCUGGAGCUGGCAUCUGCCCGCAGGAUACUUGCUUUUCUCUGGUCACCUAGAGUCAGUUGUGAGGGAGUGACUAAUGUACUGGGUCAGCAUUAGAUAGGACAUGAAAGUGAGAACCACAAGUGAGGAGCUUCAGAGGAGAGAGAGAGACCUCAAAUUCAACUAGAAUUAGAAACUAGAAAAACCUAGCUGCACACGGAAACAUGUCAGUACUAAGUCUGCAUUGAGAGAAACAUAUACAGAGACUUUCCUCUGAAAAUCGAAAGCCCUCAUGUAACUUUGGGGUUUGUGUUUCCAGUUCUGGUUUAUUCCGUGAAGUCCAAUACAAGAAAUAAGUAUGAAGUGGUAAGCCACCGUUGUUCUAGGUCUCUACUGUGUAAAAACAAAGGAAAAUCCUCUCUGAGGGAGUAUACUCGGUGAAAGUAAAUGAAGGACACCUCACUAAAAUCGUGUCAGGGAGGCCAGCAGGAGGCACUCUCACACCUGACUAGUCCAGAGGAAUUAAAAUUAUUACAGAUUCGAGAGGCAUCCUCAGGCGGAGAUAGUCCUGAGUUGCAGCCCCGGAGGGAAUGAUGGGGCUCCCCAAGAGAUCAACCGCACCCCUGCAGCUCUGCGCCAGAUCCCAGCGUCAGCCCAAAGCCCGGCUUUUCUCCAGUGGACUGUCCUUCAAAACCACCCUCCCAGCUUCUUCCUCCUUCACCCGGACAGAAAGUUCCUCCUCUGAGGUUGGGGGACCAGCCUGAGGUACAUGCUUGUCGUGGCUGCAGUUCUCCGAAUACACCCAUUUUGCCAGCAACAUCACUUUUAUUUUGAAGGUCAACAGCCCUCACCUCAGAAGUCAUAGAAUCUCUCCGGUAUCACAUCAUUAAUACCUGCUAAAAUAACAAAAUUUACAAAAGAAAUGUGUACAUAAUGUGAAAACUAGAAACAAUAUAAGUAGGGCACCCAACAUUGGAAAUAAUACAGAAUAUAAAACAGAUUUCCUUAAAGAUAUUUAAGAGCAUUUUAAAAAGAUCUAGGGAUCCCUGGGUGGCGCAGCGGUUUGGCGCCUGCCUUUGGCCCAGGGCGCGAUCCUGGACACCCGGGAUCGAAUCCCACGUCAGGCUCCCGGUGCAUGGAGCCUGCUUCUCCCUCUGCCUGUGUCUCUGCUUCUCUCUCUCUCUCUGUGACUAUCAUAAAUAAAAAAUAAAAAAAAAAUAAAAAGAUCUAAAAGAGCCUUCAAUGAAAAAAUAUUAGGUGGGCCUCACACACACAAGAAAGAAAUAAGGAAGGAAGGAUGGAAGGGAAGGAGGGAGAGGGGGAGGAAACCUAAAGAGAAAUUUCUAGAAAUGAGAACUAUAACCAGAGAAUAUAAAAACACGAGGGAUAACAACAGGUUACACAUCCAUGGAGAGUAAAACAGUGGAAUUUGACAUUAACAGAUUAUUACAAUGCAGCCUAGAAAUAAAAAAGAGAUCAAAGAUACGCAGAACAGCCUAGAAGAGCCGGAAGAGGAGAUAGUCUGAGGCAGGAGGCGGGACCCCAGAAAGGAUCGGAGAGAAUGGAACCCAGGCCAUAUUAAAAGAGCAAUGGGUGAGUUUUCCAAAUUGAUGUAAGACAGAAAUGCUCAGAACGAGCAAUCACAACUGAUCUGCGCUGAGACACAUUUAGGGUAGAGCUUCAGGAUUUCAAAGCCCAGGGGAAGUAGUAGAGGCUGCCUGGGAGAAAAGAUCUAGGACAGAUGAGCAGUUACACUUUGCGUAGCUCCCAGCUUCAGUAUGGAAGUCGGAAUAUGAGGCAUUCUUCCCUCCAAAGUGCUGAGGGAAAAUAACCAAAAAUUAGCCUGGAAUUGAAUACUUAAAAAGUAUUUUCUGAUUAAAAAAUAAAUAAACCAACAAACCUCAAAUGGUUCACCAUUGAUCCUUACUAAAGAAACACCAAAUAGGGAUCCCUGGGUGGCACAGCGGUUUAGCGCCUGCCUUUGGCCCAGGGCGCGAUCCUGGAGACCCGGGAUCGAAUCCCACAUCAGGCUCCUGGUGCAUGGAGCCUGCUUCUCCCUCUGCCUGUGUCUCUGCCUCUCUCUCUCUCUCUCUGUGACUAUCAUAAAAAAAAAAAAAAAAAAGAAACACCAAAUAAACAUUCUUUAAGGGGAGUGACAAUAAUCCCAGAGGGACAGAAUCACGAAGAGUGAUGUUAAUAUGUGGUGUGUAUGGGCUGAGCUAUGGUGCCUGGAAAUUCCUUCGUUGACAUCCUAAUGUCAAGUGUGACUGGAUUAAGGAAUUAAGGUUGCCCGAGGCCCUAAGGUGAUGCCCUGAGCCAAAGGAAUCCGUAUCCUUGAAGGGGAGACACCAGAGAGUGGUGUCCCCGCCCCAGGGAGAAGGGGGCACAGGCCAGGAAGCAGGUCCUCGCCAGGACCCGAAGCAGCUGGCAUCUAGACUCGACCCGCCGGCCUCCAGGCCUGGGGGGAAGCUGUCGUUCAGCCCACUUGGGCCUCAUUUUGUGGCAGGAACAAGAGGGGCCCAACGUGCAGAGAAAUCAAGGCAAACCUCAGGGGCAGCGGCACAACCGUCGUUCCUUACCGGGAAGUCAAAGACGGCACCCCAGGCGGGAGGGGGUUGAGGAAGACCAAAGGCGUCCUGGUUUUCCCAUGGCUUACAAAGUGGUUCGAGAUCUGGAUAGGAUACAAGAGAAUUUCACACAACUUCCACGAAAGACUCUUCCUCUCUCCCAACAGUGAAUAUGUAAAAAACGAUUUUUGGCUCUCAGGUCCUAUAAAAACAAGUUGCUAGACUGGCCUUCAGGCUGCCAGCCCUGCAGGAAGGGAACACGAUUAGCCCAUUAGCCCAGUGGCUUCACUCCUGGUGCUGACUUAGAGUGAGCAAGUCCGGAUUCAUAAAAAUUAAAGCCCCACGGAACGUGCAA